GAUGAGCGCUGGCGGCAUGCCUAAUACAUGCAAGUCGAACGGAACACUAUUUUUGAGAAUCUCGGGUUUCCUCGGGGCGUCUCAUAAAUCGUGUUUAGUGGCGGACGGGUGAGUAACACGUUGGUACCUGCCCUCUAGUGGGGAAUAACUGGCCGAAAGGUCGGCUAAUACCGCAUGUGGUCUACGGAUCAAAGCCCUUCGGGGCGCUAGAGGAGGGGCCUGCGUCUGAUUAGCUUGUUGGAAGGUAAUGGCUUACCAAGGCGACGAUCAGUAGCUGGUUCGAGAGGAUGACCAGCCACACUGGGACUGAGAUACGGCCCAGACUCCUACGGGAGGCAGCAGUAAGGAAUCUUCCACAAUGGACGAAAGUCUGAUGGAGCAAUGCCGCGUGACA
This 394-nucleotide ribosomal RNA is filed under the name uncultured bacterium. RNAcentral describes it as "bacterial SSU rRNA". It matches the Rfam family "Bacterial small subunit ribosomal RNA", at positions 28 to 406 of the family's 1533-position model. The record is from RNAcentral.